RNAcentral lists this ribosomal RNA (328 nucleotides) under uncultured Tetragenococcus sp. RNAcentral describes it as "bacterial SSU rRNA". It matches the Rfam family "Bacterial small subunit ribosomal RNA", at positions 1051 to 1378 of the family's 1533-position model. Lineage: Bacteria; Bacillati; Bacillota; Bacilli; Lactobacillales; Enterococcaceae. The record is from RNAcentral.
GUCGUCAGCUCGUGUCGUGAGAUGUUGGGUUAAGUCCCGCAACGAGCGCAACCCUUAUUGUUAGUUGCCAGCAUUGCGUUGGGCACUCUAGCAAGACUGCCGGUGACAAACCGGGGGAAGGCGGGGAUGACGUCAAAUCAUCAUGCCCCUUAUGACCUGGGCUACACACGUGCUACAAUGGGAAGUACAACGAGCAAGCCAAGCCGCAAGGCCUAGCGAAUCUCUGAAAGCUUCCCUCAGUUCGGAUUGCAGGCUGCAACUCGCCUGCAUGAAGCCGGAAUCGCUAGUAAUCGCGGAUCAGCACGCCGCGGUGAAUACGUUCCCGGGA